AGCGAACGCUGGCGGCAGGCCUAACACAUGCAAGUCGAACGAACCUUUCGGGGUUAGUGGCGGACGGGUGAGUAACACGUGGGAACGUGCCUUUAGGUUCGGAAUAACUCAGGGAAACUUGUGCUAAUACCGAAUGUGCCCUUCGGGGGAAAGAUUAAUCGCCUUUAGAGCGGCCCGCGUCUGAUUAGCUAGUUGGUUGAGGUAAUGGCUCACCAAGGCGACGAUCAGUAGCUGGUCUGAGAGGAUGAUCAGCCACAUUGGGACUGAGACACGGCCCACCCUCCGACGGGAGGCAGCAGUAGGGAAUCUUGCGCAAUGGGCGAAAGCCUGACGCAGCCCUGCCGCGUGAAUGAUGAAGGUCUUAGGAUUGUAAAAUUCUUUCACCGGAGACGAUAAUGACGGUACCCGGAGAAGAAGCCCCGGCUAACUUCGUG
RNAcentral lists this ribosomal RNA (434 nucleotides) under uncultured bacterium. RNAcentral's name for it is "partial 16S ribosomal RNA". It matches the Rfam family "Bacterial small subunit ribosomal RNA", at positions 29 to 507 of the family's 1533-position model. The record is from RNAcentral.